RNAcentral lists this ribosomal RNA (429 nucleotides) under uncultured bacterium. RNAcentral describes it as "bacterial SSU rRNA". It matches the Rfam family "Bacterial small subunit ribosomal RNA", at positions 29 to 449 of the family's 1533-position model. The record is from RNAcentral.
AACGAACGCUGGCGGCGCGCCUAAUACAUGCAAGUCGAGCGAGAAGACGUAGCAAUACGUUUGUAAAGCGGCGAACGGGUGAGGAAUACAUGGGUAACCUACCCUCGAGUGGGGAAUAACUAGCCGAAAGGUUAGCUAAUACCGCGUACGCUCCUUGGACUUCGGUUCAGGGAGGAAAGCGAUACCGUGGGUAUCGCGCUCUUGGAUGGGCUCAUGUCCUAUCAGCUUGUUGGUGAGGUAACGGCUCACCAAGGCUUCGACGGGUAGCUGGUCUGAGAGGACGAUCAGCCACACUGGCACUGCGACACGGGCCAGACUCCUACGGGAGGCAGCAGUAAGGAAUAUUGCGCAAUGGGCAAAGCCUGACGCAGCGACGCCGCGUGGGGGAUGAAGGUCUUCGGAUUGUAAACCCCUUUCGGGAGGGAAGAU